AGAUCUGGAGGAAUACCGGUGGCGAAGGCGGCCCCCUGGACAAAGACUGACGCUCAGGUGCGAAAGCGUGGGGAGCAAACAGGAUUAGAUACCCUGGUAGUCCACGCCGUAAACGAUGUCUACUUGGAGGUUGUGCCCUUGAGGCGUGGCUUCCGGAGCUAACGCGUUAAGUAGACCGCCUGGGGAGUACGGCCGCAAGGUUAAAACUCAAAUGAAUUGACGGGGGCCCGCACAAGCGGUGGAGCAUGUGGUUUAAUUCGAUGCAACGCGAAGAACCUUACCUGGUCUUGACAUCCACAGAACUUUCCAGAGAUGGAUUGGUGCCUUCGGGAACUGUGAGACAGGUGCUGCAUGGCUGUCGUCAGCUCGUGUUGUGAAAUGUUGGGUUAAGUCCCGCAACGAGCGCAACCC
Molecule: ribosomal RNA, 411 nt
Filed under: Salmonella enterica
Lineage: Bacteria; Pseudomonadati; Pseudomonadota; Gammaproteobacteria; Enterobacterales; Enterobacteriaceae
Also listed under: 1 other name
Description: partial 16S ribosomal RNA
Rfam family: Bacterial small subunit ribosomal RNA
Source: RNAcentral